GCUAAAUCUAGUUAUGUCUGAAAUAAGCCUAACUGAUUAGAAAUGCUAGGACAUACCCUAGCUAGACUGAAACAAAAAAUUAAAAACGAAGGGAAAUAAUUAUGUCACGUGUCCUCAAAGGAUGAGGACUCACCACUGUAACUGUUGAACUGAAGAUCGGGAACCGAUUUAAACGUGAUCUGGAAGCUUAAAACCUGAACCUACAUCACUAGAAGAUGUAGCGCAGAGUAUGUGUUAAUACUUGAAACGUCAAGCACAUCGAUAUGUGGUGCUCACUUGUCCACAAGUCAUGCCAUUCGUUGAGUGAGUAUUUAUGGAAAUCAAUUUACAAUAUUGUAU
Molecule: unclassified non-coding RNA, 339 nt
Filed under: Hevea brasiliensis (rubber tree)
Lineage: Eukaryota; Viridiplantae; Streptophyta; Magnoliopsida; Malpighiales; Euphorbiaceae
Source: RNAcentral